UGUGUGCAACCAGAUAAACACUGUCAACUUGAAGAACACUCCUAGAGUUCCCAAUGGUGGCACUAAGCAUCCUCUCACAGAAGUCAUUGAUGUUCCUGAAGUAGUGACAGUAGGUG
RNAcentral lists this microRNA precursor (116 nucleotides) under Cricetulus griseus (Chinese hamster). RNAcentral describes it as "mir-492". Lineage: Eukaryota; Metazoa; Chordata; Mammalia; Rodentia; Cricetidae. The record is from RNAcentral.